UAUUGUUAGACGAAAUUGAAAAUAAGAUAUGUUGGCAUUUUUUUCAAUUAACUAAUUAAGCUGAUAAUGAACCAAUUAGCUCUUAUUGCAUUGCAGGUUUAAUCGGAGAACUACAAACAAUCCUUACAAUAAUAACAACAAAAAGACGUAAAAUUAUAGUUAACUAAUUAAGCAAAAAUAUUAAAAAUAUUUAGUUAUAUAUUAUUUGAAGAGGAAAGAAGGAUCAUGUUCUCAACAUAACAUAAUUCACUUCUUCAAAAUUUACAAAGUGAAUAAAAACAAUCAGUGUCUUUAGAAACUACAAGAAUAAGAAAAAAAAAAUCUCAAAAACUACAAAGAGAAGCAAACGAGAAAAUGAACAAAUUAUUUUUUCUAUAAAAAAAAUCAUGAUUUGUAUCAUCAACAAUUCAAACUAAUAAUAUCAAAUGUAUAAUUAUAAUAGAACAAAAGUGAUAAGGAUAAUUAGGCAUGUCAAAUUAUUUUACCUCACGAAAUCAAACUAUGCAAAAUAUCUAACAUUUUCCAUUAUAUAUCCCUCUUGUGCAAAAAUCAGAUCAAAGAAGACAAAAAAAUUUAAAAAAUCAAAGAAACAAAGAUAAAGAAUAAGGAAAAUAAAAAUAAAAAUGUCCAUCAUACAUGUCUCAAAGUGAGGUUUUAUAGGUGUAACAUUUAGGAGUUAUAGUUUUUCAUAUUAAGUAAUUUGAAGGUUAUGAUUAUGAAAGGUUAGGAGUUAUAUAUAUAUUAUUUAAUUAAAAGGUUAGGAGUUAUAUAUAUUAUUAAAAGGUUAGGAGGUGUAAUGCUCAUUAAGUAACUUAUUACUAGCAAUAUAUAUACAGACAUAAUAUUAUUGUGUAAAGUAUUUAAAAAACCCUAAUAUGUUAUUUUAAAAAUAAAUAUUUUUCUGAUCAUUGAGACAUGUCACAUAGGCGAAAUGAAGAUCGAUAUUUAUAUUAAUAUAUAGAUUGAUUGAGAUGACAGUUGGGAGGCAUCAAAUUGUUGUACAAAAAGCAAGAUAAUUUGUACUACAAAUAGUAGGGUUAAAGUAGUAACUACAUCUACUUGGUACUUUUUCUAAAGUGUGUAACGUGUAGUGCUUUCUGUACACGCGUUUUAUGUCCAAAGAAAAUGAAAUGUCCCAAUGCAUAUUGAAUUUUUACAUUAAUAGAAAAUAAUGUAUUUUUCUCGGCUAAAGAGAGUGUAUUGAUUAUAUAUAUCUGUUGUUGCAAAAUCAAAAUUCAAAAGAUGAAUUUUGAGCUAGAAAAUUCAAAUCUCUAUGCAAGAUUGAAUUUAUGUGCUCAAUAGAUGAUCUCGAAUCAAGUAACGAUAUGCAUAUUGUAACUUUGACGUAUAAAUGCUGUUUGUGACUGCUAUUUUACUUUAAUCUUGGACUUCUUUCUUUUUUUAAGUAAUAAAUACCCAUUUCAGGUAACUCUCAAAAGAACAAAACAAUCUUUUUUCCGUUUAGCUUGUUAUUGCAGUGUAUGUCUUGUUGUAUUUUGUUUUUUAAGAAAGAGCUUACGAAUAAAAAAUCGUGGCUUUCUAUGUAUUACCAGGCUCAUUUGUCUAGAAAGUUGGCUAUGUCGCACAUGGUCUAUGUAAUGAUCCGAAAUGUAAUUUUUAGAAAUUUGAACUAUUCGAUAACUAUGAAUGUUUAGUUAGUGAAUA
Molecule: non-coding RNA, 1665 nt
Organism: Solanum lycopersicum (tomato)
Lineage: Eukaryota; Viridiplantae; Streptophyta; Magnoliopsida; Solanales; Solanaceae
Source: RefSeq, a predicted model, not a curated record